Molecule: transfer RNA, 75 nt
Filed under: Candidatus Aminicenantes bacterium ADurb.Bin147
Lineage: Bacteria; Candidatus Aminicenantota
Description: tRNA-Glu
Rfam family: tRNA
About the family: Transfer RNA (tRNA) molecules are approximately 80 nucleotides in length.
Source: RNAcentral
CGCCCCUGUCGUCUAGAGGCCCAGGACACCGCCCUUUCACGGCAGCAACACGGGUUCGAAUCCCGUCGGGGGCGU